This is a non-coding RNA of Phrynosoma platyrhinos (Desert horned lizard), 72 nucleotides long. The record is from the annotation of a GenBank genome assembly. NCBI's taxonomy places the organism in Eukaryota, Metazoa, Chordata, Lepidosauria, Squamata, Phrynosomatidae.
GCCAGUGUGGCGUAAUGAUUAGAAUGUUGGACUACGACUCUGGAGACCAAGGGUCGAUUCCCAGCUUUGGCU